AGUUUGAUCCUGGCUCAGAUUGAACGCUGGCGGCAGGCCUAACACAUGCAAGUCGAGCGGUAGAGAGAAGCUUGCUUCUCUUGAGAGCGGCGGACGGGUGAGUAAUGCCUAGGAAUCUGCCUGGUAGUGGGGGAUAACGCUCGGAAACGGACGCUAAUACCGCAUACGUCCUACGGGAGAAAGCAGGGGACCUUCGGGCCUUGCGCUAUCAGAUGAGCCUAGGUCGGAUUAGCUAGUUGGUGAGGUAAUGGCUCACCAAGGCGACGAUCCGUAACUGGUCUGAGAGGAUGAUCAGUCACACUGGAACUGAGACACGGUCCAGACUCCUACGGGAGGCAGCAGUGGGGAAUUUUGGACAAUGGGCGCAAGCCUGAUCCAGCCAUGCCGCGUGCAGGAUGAAGGCCUUCGGGUUGUAAACUGCUUUUGUACGGAACGAAAAGCCUUCUUCUAAUAAAGGGAGGUCAUGACGGUACCGUAAGAAUAAGCACCGGCUAACUACGUGCCAGCAGCCGCGGUAA
This 518-nucleotide ribosomal RNA is filed under the name uncultured bacterium. Its description in RNAcentral is "bacterial SSU rRNA". It matches the Rfam family "Bacterial small subunit ribosomal RNA", at positions 10 to 523 of the family's 1533-position model. The record is from RNAcentral.